RNAcentral lists this ribosomal RNA (253 nucleotides) under uncultured bacterium. RNAcentral describes it as "partial 16S ribosomal RNA". It matches the Rfam family "Bacterial small subunit ribosomal RNA", at positions 524 to 776 of the family's 1533-position model. The record is from RNAcentral.
UACGGAGGGUGCAAGCGUUGUUCGGAAUUACUGGGCGUAAAGGGCGCGCAGGCGGCCUGCCAAGUCAGAUGUGAAAUCCCACGGCUUAACUGUGGACGUGCAUUUGAAACUGGCGGGCUUGAGUACCAGAGGGGAAAGUGGAAUUCCCGGUGUAGAGGUGAAAUUCGUAGAUAUCGGGAGGAAUACCGGUGGCGAAGGCGACUUUCUGGCUGGAUACUGACGCUGAGGCGCGAAAGCGUGGGGAGCAAACAGG